Molecule: long non-coding RNA, 10284 nt
Filed under: Gossypium barbadense (sea-island cotton)
Lineage: Eukaryota; Viridiplantae; Streptophyta; Magnoliopsida; Malvales; Malvaceae
Description: long non-coding RNA (GBAR_LNC013626)
Source: RNAcentral
CAGCCGCAAAAAGAAGGGAAAAGAGAGAAAAAAAACUGCUUUAUUCUCUCUUUUACUCCUCACUUCGGCACUCUCUCCCUUUUCAACUCCGACUGAAGUGCAGCAAGGGCACUGGCGGCGCACCACCACUAGUAAGAACCUUUUCCUUUCUUCCUUGCUUUUUGCGCACAAAACGGAGAGUCAAAGAAAAAAAGGAAAAUAAAACACAAAGAAAAUCACCUUUCAAAAGAUUUCUUAUUUUUGCUCCAAUUUCCUGUUUUUAUAUAUUUCCUCAAUAAUUUUCUAAUACAAAAAACGUAACCCCCUUAUUACAGAUUUUAUUUGGCUUUAUAUAGUCGAAAAUAAAAAAACUAACUCCCCCCAUUUUACAUUUUGUUGUAUUUUCUGCUAUAUUUGCGUUGUAUGCUGUUUGUUUGUUGAAGAACUGGAGGAGAACGUGGGCUAUGCGAGGGCAACGUGCUGCGAUGUUGAGGCGAUUGUUGCGGUGCUGAGGAAGGGAAGCAAACUGUUGUGUUGUUGAUUUUUUAGUUUGGGUUACUGUUUGGGUUUGGGGCUGUUAAUUGGGCCUAUUUUGAGUGGGCCGGGCAAUUUGGGCUUGUACAACUGCCCCUCUUUGCUCGUUGUCGUGUAACGGGAACAGAGCAAAGACUAAAAGCCCAAUUGUGCCCGGUCUUACCGCCUUGACUUCUUCAGUGCUUCUCUACUUCAAAUAGCCUCAUUCCUUCCUACUGCAUCUUCUGAGGUAUAGGAACUGAUGCUUCAAUCUACUCCACUGUAAUACUGGGGAGAUAGGGUUCAUACGUUGUAGCUUCUCAAAAGAAUAAAACUUGCUAUCUCUAAUCUGCUCCACUGCAACUUCAGGGAGAUAAAACUUAAAGCUUCAACUUGUUUUGCUACAACUUAAGGAUAAAUCUGAUGCGAUCUGCUCUACUGCAACUUCAGGGAGAUAAGACUUGUAUCUUCGAUCUACUUCGCCACCAAUAUGGGAAGACAAUAUCUACUAUCUUUGAUUUACUUCACUGCCAGUACAUGAAGACAAGAUUUGCUUUCUUCGAUCUACUUCACGCCAAUAUAUGAGUACAAGAUCUGCUAUCUUUGAUCUACUUCACUGCCAGUACAGGAAGACAAGAUCUGUUAUCUUUGAUCUACUUCACUGCAAGUACAAGAAGACAAGAUCUGCUAUCUUCGAUCUACUUCACGCCAAUACGUGGAGACAAGAUCUGCUAUCUUCGAUCUACUUCAUGCCAAUAUAUGAAGAUAAGAUCUGCUAUCCUCUGAUCUACUUCAUGCUAGUACAUGGAGACAAGAUCUGCUUUGUUUGAUCUACUCCGCCACCAGUACGGGAAGAUAAGAUCUACUAUCUUUGAUCUACUUCAUGCCAAUACAUGAAGACAAGAUCUGCUUUAUUUGAUCUACUUCGCUGCCUGUACAGGAAGACAAGAUCUAUUUUCUUCGAUCUACUUCACCACCAGUAUGGGAAGACAAGAUCUGCUAUCUUUGAUCUACUUCACGCCAAUACAUGAAGACAAGAUCUGUUUUCUUCAAUCUACUUCACCACCAAUAUGGGAUGACAAGAUCUGCUAUCUUUGAUCUACUUCACGCCAAUACAUGAAGACAAGAUCUACUUUCUUCGAUCUACUUCACGCCAAUAUAUGAAUACAAGAUCUGCUAUCUUUGAUCUACUUCACUGCCAGUACAGGAAGACAAGAUCUGUUAUCUUUGAUCUAUUUCACUGCCAGUACAGGAAGACAAGAUCUGCUAUGUUCGAUCUACUUCACGCCAAUACAUGAAGACAAGAUCUGCUAUCUUCGAUCUACUUCACACCAAUACAUGAAGACAAGAUCUACAAUCCUCUGAUCUACUUCAUGCUAGUACAUGAAGACAAGAUCUGCUUUCUUCGAUCUACUUCGCCACCAGUAUGGGAAGACAAGAUCUGCUAUCUUUAAUCUGCUUCAUGCCAAUACAUGAAGACAAGAUCUACUUUAUUUGAUCUACUUCGCUGCCAGUACAAGAAGACAAGAUUUAUUUUCUUCGAUCUACUUCGCCACCUGUAUGGGAAGACAAGAUCUGCUAUCUUUGAUCUACUUCACGCCAAUACAUGAAGACAAGAUCUGCUUUAUUUGAUCUACUUCGCUGCCAGUACAGGAAGACAAGAUCUGUUUUCUUUGAUUUACUUCGCCACCAACAUGGGAAGACAAGAUCUGCUAUCUUCGAUCUACUUCACACCAAUACAUGAAGACAAGAUCUGCUAUCUUCGAUCUACUUCACCACUAGUAUGGGCAGACAAGAUUUGCUAUCUUUGAUCUACUUCACUGCCAGUACAGGAAGACAAAUUCGUUGCCUUUUAACCUGCUCCACUGUCGCUUAGGGAGAUAAGGCUUAUGAUUUCACCAAUUUGUUCUCUGGGGAACAUAACCUGUAUAAUUCACUUUAUGAAACUAAUUAUGCCUAAUAGGAUGUCAUGAACAGAAUGGAUCAAAUGCUCCUAACUAGACAUGUAUGAAUGACAUUUGGAUGAAUGCAGAAUGUCAUUUUUCGAGAAUGAUCCCUCCUUAUCACUCUUGUUAUCAUUAUUCAAAGUUUAUUAAAGUUUUAUAGCUAAUGUGCCAUAGCACCGUUUUGCUCAGCUAGCGUCUCCAACGAAACACUUGACUAGAUUGCCCCCACUGUAAACCUCCAAGUUUGAUCCACUGGGAUGUAAAAUUUGUACCAUCUUUCUCCUGUUGUAACCCAAAAGUAAAAAGAUUUGGCCUUUUCUCAAUCCACUGCUAUCACAAUUCAAGGAUACAGGAUGUGAAACUCUUUGGUCUCUUACACCAUUCCCAAGGUGUCAUACCAAAUGCUCAUGCACAAAUGAAGAAUUUUCUUCUCCAAGAACAACUUCUUCUUAUUAUUCGGUGAUCAUUGCUUGCUUGUUCAUUGAAGCUUUGUCACCAACACUACAUCUUGCCAUUUUGUUCGAUCGAUAUUUUAGAGAACAAAAUUCAAAGGGAUAGUCUUAAUUUAGACUCUUCCUUAUUAGAUUUCCAACCUUUAACCUGGUGCGUUCUAAACAAUAGUCCUGUUUCAGGUUUCUGUAUUAUUUAGAAACUUCUAGAGUAAUAUGCAAAACUUUCAUUGUGAAAAUUUUAUUAGUCUAUUAAUCAAUAUUCUAAUGCAACAUGCUUGCAAAAAGAUCAUGGAUAAGAAUAGAGUUGGUUCUGAGCAUAGCUCGGAAUGAAUAAAUUAUCAAAGAUAAUAAAGAUUGAUAACAAAGAAAUUGAUUUAGGAAUGCCUAUCUUGGAAGUGAAUGAAGUUUCCAAGAAUAAUAAAAUUAGUAUAAGGAUUAGGUGCCCCAGAUAUCGCAGAUUGAACUUCUCUGUACAAACUUUUCGAAGACCAUUCUGAGUUUAACAUGUGUUUUAGGAGACCUAUAGUACUUUGUCGAUGCCCCAAGAUGUCGUCUACCCUUUCCUGUUGAUUCAGGUAUAGCGAGACCACUGCAUGCCCCAUUCUGAUCAGUAUUUGAGCUGCUCUGAUUACCUCAUGCCCCAUUUUGAUCAAUAUUUGAGCCGCCGUUUUCGGGUUUUCAACUCAAAUCCCCUUUGGUCUAAGGCGCCCUUUGCAAGUUUUCACCUUAUCCUCUCCAUUUUACUUUUUCCAUUUUUCAUUUCUCAUUUCACUUUUCAUUUUUUCAUUUCAUCAUUUUACGACUCAAAGUGCCCUUUGCGGGUUUUCUACCUCGGUCAUCUCCUUCUUUAAGCGGAGUAUUUUCUGACUGAAUCUGAAUUUACAGAACUUAUCAUCCAUCUCGCUCAAAAUCAAAGCUCUUUUGGAAAAAAACCUUCUUUAACAUAAGGUUCUUCCCAAUUUGGCAUUCGUUUCCCUCCAAAACAUUUUUUUGUAGAGGGAAGAUCUUCAACAUUUGGUCACCCUCGUGGAAUUCUCUAGGAUGAACCUUUUGUUAUAGGCUCGCAUUAUUCAUUUCUGGUACAUCUGACCGUGAUGAAUAGCUUUUAGCAUUUUUCCUUCUAUCAAGUUCAAUUGAUCACAUCGCAAUUGAAUCCGUUCUGCUUCAUCCAACUUGCUUAGCCAAUACCCGGAGAAAGAAUUUCGACUUUAAUUGAAAAAGAAACCGUGACAAACUAAAAAGAGAGGCAUUGCUCCGGUACAGUUUUCAGCAAAUCAUUUAUGGUAAUCUUGAACAUUCUGCAAAUUUCUGAUAUCGUGCUGUUGUUCAGAUUGCAAUGACAGUGCUUAACCUGGGCAUACCCUGGUAUGACCAUGCGAAGACAUCUUUGAAUUCUUGAAGUAACUCAACAACGUCUUGCUUUGUUUCUUCGGUCAUGCAUGUUCCCUCAAGGUUACAGUCUCCAUUGUCUCCUCAUGAGGUAAAUUUGUUCUCUUAUUACUCUACCAUCCUCAACAAGUCAGGAGAUAAGCUACAAUCUAUGUCGUUUUCAAAGUCAUGAAAUCUCUCUAAACACAUGUCUCACUCAAAAGGAGAUUCUGAGUCUAUAGCAGCGUCACUCAUGCCAUUGAUAUCUAGGGACUCAUAGUAGGAACCAAAGAACAUACAAAAGAAUGUAUGAAUUUAUAAAUAAUAUGAAUGAAUGAAAGAAUGAUUUGGCAGAAAAAAUCCAAAAGAAUGAAGGAAUCGUAAAGAAUGAAAGAACAUUUGCUCAAAGAUGAUUGCAAUAAUGUAUGUCAUUAAAAUAAUAAUGUUCAGACAUGAGCCUAUUUCACAAAGAAAUUCUUAUUUCUUCUAGGCUAAAAGCAACAUUGUGUUUUGAACAUUACUCUAACAGACUUUAAAUACUAUAGGGUUUCCUCUGCAAUCCCAUUAUUUAUAACACCUCCAAGGCAAAUAUCUAACAAGGACCCAUUUAGUUGUGUCUGCACAUAUGGCGUCGAUGUGAAAAUCUCACCACUUCUCUAUAUAUUGCAUUCCCUCCAUUAUCAAUCAUGAUUGGGUAACGGAUUUUCUGCACUAGACGAGUCACCAAACUUGACGAUACCCAUGUUGAUGAGUCUUUCAACUUGCUUCUUGAAGGCAGUGCAAUUCUCUAUUGAGUGUCCCGUAAUUCCCGCAUGGUAUUCACAUUGUACGCUUGCAUCAUACCAUUUGGGAUACGGAGGUUGUAGAGGCUUCACAUGAAAAGGGGAAACCACAUGUGCAUCAAACAAAUUUUGAUACAGUUCUUUAUACGGUACUGGGAUUGGUGUAAACUGGAACCUCUCAGUCUUUAUGCCAGAAUCUUGCCUUGAUGAAUUUUGUUGAUUACCAACCACCUUUCUUGGUUGACUCACAUUAACUGAUUUAGAGUAACCUAUGUUGUUCACCUAAUCUUCUCUUCUCCUUAAAGCUGACCUCUUGUUACUCUCUUCUGCAUCGAUUUUCCUGCUCCUUAUGGCAUUCUCGAUCAUCUCACUAUUCAUGAUUAUAUUAGAAAAGCUUUUUGUGGCACUCCCUAACAUAUGUGUAAUGAAUGGUGCUUUCAAUGUGUUAAUGAAUAGCAUAGUCAUCUCUUUUUCCAAAAGCGGUGGCUGAACUUGGACCGCGACUUCCCUCUAUUUUUGUGCGUACUACCUAAAACUUUCGUUCAGCUUAUUCUCCAUAUUUUGAAGGGUGAUUCUAUCAGGAGCCAUGUCUGUUACAUGACUAUACUGUUUCAUGAACGCUUGUGCCAAAUCCCUCCAUGAACCAAUCAUGGUACGGAUCAAUUGAUUGUACCAUUUAGAUGCUGCCCCAGCGAGGCUAUCUUGGAAACAAUGUAUCAAUAGCUGGUCAUUGUUAACAUAUCCAACCAUUCGCCUGCAGAACAUUGUGAUAUGAGCUUCUGGGCAACUUGUCCCAUUGUACUUCUCGAAUUCUGGCAUCUUAAACUUAUGAGGGGGUACCAAAUCCGGAACAAACUCAGCUCUUUAGCGUCAAUCCCAUGAUAGUUUUCAAUGAUCUCCAUCGCCUUGAACUUUUCUUCAAGCCAUUUGCACCUUUCUUCUAAUUGUUUUGGUAACUCUUCCUUUAUUCUUUCCUUCUUAGCCACUUCAUCAAAGUCAGGAAUGUCAGAGUUAACAAGGUUGUUUUCGGGGUUAGAGCCCGAUCCAGCUUGAAAGUUUGAAGCACCAGCCUAGAGCUGCUGAGGCCUGAUUGUGACAGUAGGUUUGUGCGGGUAUUUAGCUUGAGUUCGCACAUGUGGAGGAGUAAAGCCUGGAGGAUAGAGAGGUUCAUCCUCAUUACUCUCUUCGACAUUAGCCAUAGGGCCCUUUCCCUUAUCACCUCCCCCAAUCAACAGUUGGGUUAACUUUGCCAUCAUAUCAUUUUAGGAUUCCAACAUCUUCUCCGACAUAUCCCGUUGCAUUUUGUCUAACCGCUCCUGCACUUGUAGCUGGAGUCGGUCUUACAUUUCUUUCUAGUACUGUUUGAGCUUUUCCAGUCUCUGAUCCAUGUCUUUAAUCUUUGCUCGAGUGCCGUAACAGUGUUUGGUUGGUUGGUUGGUUGGUUUCCAGGUUAACUGAGCAAUGAUUUUAAUUAAUUAGGAUCCUUUAACGGUGUUUAAUCAUAUGAUGUAAUGUAAUGCAAAUGCAUGAAAUGAAUGCAAGAAAGAUACGUUGAUUCUGGUUCAAUUCUUUACUAGAAAAACUUCACUAGAAAACAAAUCUCUUUACACAAAGCGGAUAUAUAUAUACGGCUUCGCCCUCGUACUCCAAACAAAGACAUCGACCAUUCAGAUAUUAAGAUGCAUCUCGCGAAUUUGAGCUCCUUUUUGUUUGAUCUAGGUCGUAACUCCCUGCUCACUCAUGCCCAUGAGAUUCUUUAAAAAGGUUGGGAUGUGUGAUGACUCUUGAAUAAUAUUUGCUAAUCUUGAAUCAACGCAGCAAAGUCGUAUACUCCUCUUGUUACACUUCUCGUAUCACGCUUUCUUGGACUAUAUUCAGAGAACCGUAUUGUUUUCCACUUUAUCAAGAAAUCCGUUUUCCAUGACAAGCUCUCUAUUUAGCAACCGAACGUGAAUCAACACCUCUUUUCUAUAAUGAAAUGCAAUGCGGUAAAAAUGUCAUGCAGCCAAAACAAAACAUAACAAGUUAGUAUCAGGUAUAAAAAUAGAAUCCAAUAUAAUUAGAAAUAAUAAAACACCGAUUCAGGUAUCUACUAGGGUUCAAUGUAGUUCUACCUAGGGUGAGUUUCUAAGGUUCACUAUAUGAGGUUUGGAUUCUAGAUCAAAGGUACCCGAACCAGCAGAUUCCUCGAUCCUCACCCAUUAUAGGCUCAUAUGGAUCGAGUUUGGUUCAGGGGAAUACAUUUCCCUAUGGCUGCAUCGAGAUGAAAAUCUCACGAAGACAUAGGUACGGAUGUAUCCCGGAAGCGGUCCACUACCUUGCACGGAGGUGAAAACCUCACGAAGGACUAGUUUCUCGCUCCAACUUAAAGGGGUAAAAUCGACCAACUUAUAAAAUGCAAAAUGAAAAUAAACUAACAGAUUUAGGCUAAUCAAGCAAACAUAUGACAAUGAUAACCAAUGAAUGCAAAGGAAAAAUCAUGAUUUUUUAAAAAAACUUUUCAAUUUUUGACAAAAAGGACAAAAAUAAUCAAUUCAUGGCUCGACUCUCUAAAGGGUCCCCAGUGGAGUCGCCAAGCUGUCGAAACCAUUUUUUGAAAAACAAAAAUUUAGUUGUCGACUUUAAAAAUAAAAUUAGAGUCGCCACCGAUCCUUUAUUAAGGUGUGAUCGGCUCACCUUAAAAAUUAUUUUGGUCUAAGAAUUUUGAGAAAACAAGUUCGGGAUUCAGUUACGCACAAGGAAGGGUUAGCACCCUCGUAACGCCCAAAAUCGGUACCAAAUGGAUUAUUUAAUGUCUUAGUGUCGAGGGCUAAAUUUUUUUUAAAAACAACUCAAAUGAUGAAAUCUAAAAAGGAUAAUCAAUUGUUCAAGUCAUGUAAAGAAAUCGAGUCCCAAUACGUUAGGGUACGAUUUCUCAAAAUCCUCAAACUUUGAAUAUCGCUUUUAUUUUAUAAGAAAAUCUUCAUUUCGAGAUAUCAAUAUGUCAUGCCCAAUACAUUAGGGCACAACGAGUUAAAUUCCCGAAAAUGAUUUUUACAUUUAUGCGCUUUGAAAAAAAUAUGCUCGAUUAUUUAGGUUUAACAAGGAAAAUUGGAACCCAAUACGUUAGGGCUCAAUCUUCUCGAAAAUCCCAAAUAUCGAAUAUCGCAUUAUCUUGAAAGCCUUUGAAUAAAAAUGAUUUUAAUGCUUUAAUGAAAACAUAUAUUUUCUUUAAAAGCAUGAUAAAAUGUUAAUAUACAACAUGGAACACAUAAAUUGAUUUAAAUUAUAUAUGUAUAUGUAUUACAAAAUGUCAAUGCAUAUAUAUACAUGUAUACAAAAGUUAUGGAAAUAAAAGAAUAAUAAUAUAUAUAAAAAAUAUGUACAUGUAUUUACAAAAUAUGUAUAUAUAUAUUUAUGAAAAUAAAAAAAUUUAUUUAGAUUUAUACAGAUGUAUAUAAAUUAUUAAAUAUAUGAAAAAAUAGAAUUAUGUAUAUAUAAAAAUUAAAAUAUGUAUGUAUAUAGGUAUAUAUAUGUUUGUAAAAAAUUAAGAAAAUAAAUAAUAAAAACGUAUAUAUAAAAGUAGGUAUAUGUACACAUUUACGAAAGUAAAGUAAAACAAAUGUUUUUGGAAUUAAAAUAUAAAAGAUAUAUAUGUUUUGUAAAAAAAUGUAUGUAUGUAUAAAAAUAGAACUUUAUGUAAAAAUUAGAAGUAUAUAUAUAUUAUAAAAAAUACAUGUAUAUGUGCAUGGAUUAUAAAAUAAGGAAAAUGUAUAAAUACUAUAAAAUAUAAAUGCAUAUACAUAUAUAUAAAAACUAUGAAAAUGAAAUAAUAAUAUAAUAAUAAAAUAUGUGUAUGUAUAUGAAUUUAAAAAACAUUUAAAAAUAUAUACAUAUAUAUUAUAUGAUAUUAUGCGUAUAUAUGUACGUAUAAUAAUAGUAAGUAAUAUAAUAAUAAUUAAUAAUAAUAAUAAGUAAUAGUAGCAACGAAAAAGAAUAAAUUAAUUAAUUGUAAAAACACCAAUCAGGAUUAAAUUGAAACAGAAAAGAAACUUAAGGGGAAAAUCUGAAAUAAUAAAAAUGCAAAUGGGCCAAAUAGAGUACGCCCUUAACAGUGGAUGACCAAAAGGGAAGAUAACCCCGCCCUUCCAAACGCAGCGUUUCAAUGAGGAUUAAAAUAAAACAAUUUCAAUAUUUCAUAGAAAAAUUUAAAAACAAAAAAAACAUGGUUUUGAAGUAACUGAAAAAUGAAAAGGAUUAAAGAUGUAAAUAGCCCAUUAAGCAAGGCCUACUUCUAACCCUAAUCCCAUUCUAAUCCAAUAUCAACCACACCAGCAGCAAAAAGAAGGGAAAAGAGAGAAAAAAAACUGCUCUAUUCUCUCUUUUACUCCUCACGUCGCACUCUCCCCCUUUUCAACUCCGAUUGAAGUGCAGCAAGGGCACCGAUGGUGCACCACCACUGGUAAGAACCUCUUCCUUUCUUCCUUGCUUUUUGCGCACAAAACAGAGAAUCAAAGAAAAAAAAGGAAAAUAAAACACAAAGAAAAUCACCUUUCAAAAGAUUUCUUAUUUUUGCUCCAAUUUCUUGAUUUUAUAUAUUUCCUCAAUAAUUUUCUAAUACAAAAAACGUAACCCCCCUUAUUACAGAUUUUAUUUAGCUUUAUAUAGUCGAAAAUAAAAAACUAACUCCCCCUAUUUUACAUUUUGUUGUAUUGUCUGCUUUAUUUGCUUUGUAUGUUGUUUGUUUGCUGAAGAACUGGAGGAGAACGUGGGCUAUGCGAGGGCAACAUGCUGCGAUGUUGAGGCGAUUGUUGCAGCGCUGAGGAAGGGAAGCAAGCUGCUGUGUUGUUGAUUUUUUUAGUUUGGGUUAUUGUUUGGGUUUGGGGCUGUUAAUUGGGCCUGUUUUGAGUGGGCUGGGCAAUUUGGGCUUGUACAUGGCAGAUUGCACAUGCCCAUGUGUGAUAGCUCCAGUUUCCACACGCUUGUGUCACUUACCCACACGCCCAUGUGCACCCUUCACACGCCCGUGUGAAAACCACUCCACCUAUUUUUGCAAAAAACUCAUUUUAAAACACGAUUUUGCAUAUUUUAAUGGCCAAUUAAACCUGAUUUAGCUACGAUUAAUUAACAUAUAUAUACAUACACCGUCAAUUGAAUUUAUGGACAUUAAUUAAGCCUUAAUUAAAUAGAAUUAGGCAAUCAAUUUAAUGCAUAACAAACACCGAAUAAAUCAAACAAGUGGCGUACCUUAGUCGCUAGUAAACC